UUGCUUUACAAUAGCAGUUAUGUAAGAUGCAUAAACUCUAGAAAUCUGCUGUACAACACUGUGCCUAUAGUUAACCAUACUGUAUUGGGCACUUAAAAAUUUAAGAGGGCAAAUUUCAUGUGUUCUUACCAC
Molecule: non-coding RNA, 132 nt
Organism: Vicugna pacos (alpaca)
Lineage: Eukaryota; Metazoa; Chordata; Mammalia; Artiodactyla; Camelidae
Source: RefSeq, a predicted model, not a curated record